UCCUCGUUAGCUCAGCUGGUAGAGCGCUCCACAGGAAAUGGAGAGGUGCCUGGUUCGAUAUCAGGGCCAGGUG
RNAcentral lists this transfer RNA (73 nucleotides) under Ixodes scapularis (black-legged tick). Its description in RNAcentral is "tRNA-Ser". Lineage: Eukaryota; Metazoa; Arthropoda; Arachnida; Ixodida; Ixodidae. The record is from RNAcentral.